GGAGCGCCCUCGGCGGGCGCGGCGGCCUCACCCGGCCCGGCCCCUCAGACUUCUGCAGCUGCGGCGGCCCCCGGAGUGGGUCUACCCCGGGGCCUCAGGGGCAGUUCUCGGCCCACCCCGCGGGGAACCAGUAGGGAAACCGAGGCCCUCCCAAGCACGGAGUAAGGGCGGCCCUCUCCAAUUCGGCAGCCGGAUGCCAGCCAGGACUGUACCGUGUCCUUGGCCUGGGAAUUCCCCGGGCACCCGGCCCGCAGACCGAUGCCCCCAGUUCUGAGGACGUAUAGGUGUAGCUGCUCUGGAUCUACUUUUAUCGAUUCCCAGAGGUCUCGACACUCCACCCAGUUUGCGGCCCGCCUUCCUGGAGCCAGUAAUCCAUCCAACUGAAUACCUGCCAGACCCUUUGCUACGUGCUGGAGAUGCAGUGAGAGCAAAUUCAGAGCGGUGCUCUAAUGAACUUUACAGUCGUGAAUACUUAAUUGCUCAAGGGUAACUUUUCAAAGUUGACAACUUUUAAUAAAGGCCCUGAGUGCUAGGACCAUGAAUAAGCAAGAGACCUGAUCCAGACUUGGAGGUCAGGGAAAUGAUGCUGGAGAGCAGAGAGAUGAACAAGAGUUAAUUACAUGAAAAAGAGUAGGGCACUGCAAGAGAGCCUGGCCUGGUGAGAGAACUGCAAGAUCUGUAUGACAGAUCCUAAAGUGGGGGACAGUGGGGGAGAUGAGGCUGCAAAGAUCACCAAGAACAGUAGGUCAUGGAAGGAGUUGUGGUCUGGACCCUAAAAGGAAUGGGGAGCCACUGAAGGAUUUUAACCAGGUGUAUCCAAAAGAUGUUGGGAGGAGCCAAACUGGAUGUGUCAAGAGGAGAUGAGCAGGACUCCUGGAGAAAUGACAGUCCCUUGCUGCUGCGUUUAAUUGGAGAGGAUCUCAGAGACCCGAGAUUAUAAUUAUGACACGUUAAAUGCCGAGCUCUUCAAAAGUCUGCCCUUGCCCUCGCUGUCACCCUGAACAGCUCUGAGAACCCAAACCCUGCAGCCCCCAGAGUGUGCCCUGGGUCUCUCAGCCAGGCCUCACCUGGGAAAUCUGAGUGAUGGUGACGUGCAGGCAGCAGGAAGACACACAGUAAACCUAGGAGCCUGUGAUGAGCUCAGGAGAGUUUAAGGCCCCCUUGGAAACCACAUGUUGGAGAUGGCAGAGCCACAAGGUGGAAGGAUCCCGGUCCCUAAAUCAUCACUUGGAGGACACACACCACUGAUCAGGAACACCCACGUGAGUUGUUUGUGAACAAGAAAUCAGCUAUAUUGUCUGAGCCAAUAUACAUUUGGGGAUUUGUUUGUUAUAGCAUCUAGCAUUAUCCUAACUAAUACCGGGUUUAAGAAAAUUGUUGGUUGUUCAGAUGAUUCUGAUGCGGCCAGACUGGAGAAUCAAUUGAAGCCUCUCGGGACAGAAAGUCUUUGUUGAGGUGCAAGAGCAGGAGUGGAGAGCAGACUGAAAAUAUCUAGAAAGCAGGAGGUCAAGGCCUCUGGUAGAAUUCAGGAGGCUAACAUUUCAGAGAGGGGCUAUCCUGCAGUGUGGCAAGAGCCAAUGGGAAAAGGUAAGGAACAUUAAGCAGGUCCGGGAACUGUGAUGCUGGGGGUCAGGAAUCAUGUUGGAUGGUUAGUCCACUUGGAAAUUGUGGUCUGUGACGAAGCAGGACAUGGGGUGGAGAGAGAGUGUCAGAGGUCUGGCCACUGUCUUGCAACCAGGGCAAUGGGAAGAAGUGCUUUAGUUAAAAACUAGACUAACCAUCAGGACUGCCAUCACUAAGCCCUGUCAGCUGCCAUGGCUGAAUGGAUCUGAGCAGGGUGUCUCAUCAUUGGUGAGGAUUUGUUCAUUAGGCCACAGAGAUGCACACCCGAAAGCUGGUCCAUGAAAAGGAGCACCUGUAAAUGCUGAGGCAGGCUAACUGCAUCCAGCCACAGAAACAGCCAGACCCACAGCAAGAGUGCUUUCUUCAGUUGGUAGAGAAGCUUGGCACUCUCCAAAUUGCUUAUUUACACGUCUGUUUGAGCCUCAUGGACAUCCCAUAUUAAAGACAGUGUCCCUCUGUGCCAGGUAAGGUCACCAAAGUGUUAAAUAAAUGAUAGCACUCAGAAGGGAGUGGAGCCAAGGUCUCCUGAUCCUUGGCCAGUGGUCCUCAUUAUAAAAUCCCUUUUACAGACAUUUUUAGACAUUAACUACCCAUCAUCUUGGGAAGAUUUAGGCCUCAACACACCCCUGGCAGCAGGAAUGACGGGGAUGGCCUCCAAAGGCACUUCCAGCUAGCAAUUCUUAAAAGAGUUUCUGAAUGAGCAGUUCCAAAAUAAGACUAGGAAUAGGAAUGACAGAAAACUCAAAAUAAUAGUUGUGAAAAUAAGAGAAGUUUAUGUCUCUUAAAAAAGAGUCUGAUGUAAAAAAAAAAAAAAAAAGUCUGAUGUAAAUGUAAGGGCUGCUAUGGCCCUCCACAAUUUCAGAGGGUCAAGGCUCCUUCUAUUUUGUUUUUUUUCCUGUAUUGUUGUGUAACAAAUUACCGCAAAACUCAGUGGCUUAUAACAACAAUAAGCUUUUCUUACCUCACACUUUCUGUGCGUCAGGAAUUCAGGAGUAAUUUUGCUAGGUGAUUCUGGCUUAAGCUCUCUCAUAAGGUUGCAGUCAGGAUGUCAGAAUGGAGCUGUGGUCACUUGAUGGCUUGAAUGGCACUGCAACAUUGGUUCUGGCUGAUGGCAGGAAGCCUCAGUUCCUCACCACCUAUAAUCCUCCAUAGGUUGCUUGAGUGUGCUUACAACAUGGCAGCUGGCUUCCACUAGCCUGGAGCAAGUGCAGAAGCUGCAGUGUCCUUUAUGAAGUAGUCUCAGAAAUCACACUAUCAUUUCUGCAAUAUCCUGUCGGUUACACGGGUCAGUCCUGUUGAAUACGGGAGAGAAUGAAACAAGGACCUUCCAGUAGUUGAGAAUUACUGGAGGCCAUCUUGGAAGUUGGGCUACCAUAUCUGCCAUCUUCAGAGAGUGGCUUCAUCCCAAUAUUCUAAUAUGGCUGCUCUAACUCCAGCUGUCACAUCACAGAAGGUACUUUCUGGUUGGCAUGAAAAAAGAAGAAAGGAAGAAGGCAUGCCUUUCAAGAAGUUGCAUACACUAUCCUACUUAUAGCUUAUUGACCAAAACAGUCACAUAGCUGGAAAGGCGGCUGGGAAAUUUAGUAUUUAUUUUGGAUGCCAUGUACUCAGCUAGACCAGAUACUGGGGGACACUUGGCAGUCUCUGACACAUCAGCAAUGUUCCUGUGUAUAUUUCAAAGGAUGGUGUGGGGAGGAGAGCACAGAGGACAUCACUAUCUUGGGUUACUGACCUGGCUAAGGACUUCUGACCCAUCUUGUCUGGGAAACGUGUGUGUGUGUGUGUGUGUGUGUGUGUGUGUGUGUGUGUGUGGCAGGGACAGGGGAGGAGUGCAGAUAAGUGCUUUAUCCUGUAAUUAGUGAAUCUCAGUGUCAAGAGAAAAUAGUCCUUAGAAGAACUCAGGAGACAAAUGAACAUUAAAAACAGACUGAGUCCUAGAAACCCAGCCAAGAGUGGUCCCAAGAAUUAAGAUGAUCCAGAAAAUGAGAAUACCAUCACAGGAGACACUGUGAGAGCAGCCUCACUCUGCACCCAGACAUGCAGGUUUAAAUAAAUUCUAGGUAGCCCAACUUAUGACCCCAAUGCAGAAGCCCAGAUGGGCAACUCUACCAGCUGUGUUUUUAAAAGAUCGCAUGAUUCCUGAUCAAUGAACCAAAGAGACCAAAUGCAAAAGUGUUUAGAGCUGAGCUGCAGAUUUGCCCAGAGACCUGUUAGAGACCAGAGCCAAGGCUUGAGCAGCCAGCUGGGUGCUGACUCAAGCUGGGAGUGAGCCCGACAUUGGAGCCUAGCUAAGCAGAAGAUGAGCCAUCAGCCAGCCAGAGAAUUCUAAGGCUUGAGAAGCCCACAGAAAAGCUGCCCUGGCAGAAGGAGGGCAAGGCUCUGACUUGGCUGAGUGGCUGGUGACAGAGGGCACUGUCAUCCUAGAGGAAUGCAAAGUCUGGAGCAAGAGGCCUACAGCUGGGGCAUCCAAGGGGGCAGCUGGUACUGCCAAGGCCCCUGUGGCAGGAGCUGGCUUUCUCUUCAUUGCCAAGGCCUGCCUAGACCUUGGAUCCUUAUCUCGAGGGUGGAAGAGGUGGACUGAGGAUUCGGAGGUGCUCGCUUCAUGGAGGGUGACUACAGUCUCCUACCUGCCUGGCUAGUCUCGUGUGCCCUGCCCAUAGCCCAAGCUGGAUAACGUCCUGGGUCCUGAGUCCACACCAGGCCAUCUCCAGAUGGGGUAUCAGGACACCCUGGGUAGGCAGCAUGCUCACUCACCCGGGUCACAACCCAUGACCCUUAUUGUACGUGGGUUGUCAAUCAUCACCACAUUGCUGUGCACAAGGGUCCACCUCCAGAGCAGUAAGGGAUCACCACAGCUCCAGCCUUCCUCACUCUGCCUUGGCCCGAGUGCCAAGGUCACCGAGAAUUUGGGGGACCUCUACAGACUGCUAGUUUGAGGACCCUUUCAAGAAAGACACCUCCAGGUGUGGCUGACAUCGGGCUCCAACCUCAGGUGGGGGUAGGGGGGUGUUAGAAGCUAAGGGUGGGCUGGUAGGGGGUAGUUAGGAAGGGUAGAGCGUCCCAAAGUGGCCUGGAAUUGGCUUGGGAAAUCCAGGACUUUGCUUUGUGGCUCUGUUGCAGCAAUGCUUAGCGAGCACCUGCUCAAUGAGGCAGACACUUGGCUACCCCCUGGGUACACAGAGCAGAGGAAGGCUCAUAUGACAUCACACCAGACCAUAAGUAAAGCAAAACAGCAGAGGGUGCAAUAUGCAGUGAUAGGUUAAAUACAAGACACAGAAACAAUGGAGGAGGGGAAUGUGCUGGUAGAGUGGUAAAGGGAAGCUUCACUUCACAGAAGAGGUGGUACCUGCAAGAAAGAACAGGAGUUCCUCAGCCACGAUGGGGCCAGGUGAGGAAGGGAAUCUAGGCAAAGGGAACAGCAAGCCCCAGAGCUCUUAGCUGUGAGACCACCAGCGGUAGAGGAAGAGAUUUUCCUUGCCUGAUGUGUUCAUUAGACUCUGAAAUUUCUGGGCCCUUUCAAGGUGCAGUAGCCUUGAUCUCUUUCCAAUAAACAACUCAGAGGAGUCAGAGAGGGGAGAAGAUGCUCCCUCCCUGCUCGUUGGGUUUUCUUUCAACUUUGAGUCCUUGGUAGCUGGUCAUAACAGGGCGGGGGAACCAUAAUUAUGAAGAGGAGAAGGGUUCUUUGAUCUUGAAGAACCUGCCCAAGGCCCAGUCCGUCUCUAUGUAGGUCCUCAAGUGACCUUGGAUGGCCCCUUAGGCAUGACUGUCCCCAGCAGCCUCUGUGGGGCAGGAGGCAGGGCUGGGAGGUGCACUGGGUGGGGCACUCUAACCUACCCUCCCUGCUGUCAGACCCAGUCUGUUGAGGUAUCUGGCCCUCUCUGGAACCCUUGGGAACCCCCAGCAUUGCCAAAGCACCGUCCUGCAUCUUGCAGGUGGCCCUACAGUGUGAGAAUCGUCAUCUGGCGCAUGCUGACACAUCCUACUAACUUUUUUGGUGGUGUACAGGCUUGCUUUUCCUCUAGGACCCAGGAAAACGUGAUAUGCAAAUGAAUCACCAGGUGACCCCAAAUCAAACAGCUGCUCUGGAGUUCUUCUGUGAAGGCAAAAGGAACUGGAGGCCCCAAGAGGUCCACCUCCUUUCUGGGUCAAGGUGGGCAAGUGAGACUGAACCAGAGUUACACUGGGAUGUCACCCUGUCUCUGGCUACGGGUGGACCAGGAACCUCAGGCAGAGCCGCCAGUGCCCAGCGAGGCUUUGGGAGGAUUUGUGGUGCAGGUGGAGGGUGGGUCAUCAGUGCUGAGGUCCUGGCCAGCCCAGCUCAUUCAUCCAGGAACCCCUUUCCCCUGACUGUUGCUCUUCUCACUGGGAUAUGCAAACAGCCUCAUGGCAGGCCUGGCCUUUCUCUCACCUAUGCCAGCUCCAGCCCCAAGGCCUAGCUCAGGUCACAUCUCUCUGGUUCAAAAACCCCUUAAUAUAAACUCCUUGGUCUGGCAUCCAAGGCCCUACCCACUACAGUACUAACUCACCUCUCACCAGUCUUCCAUAAACUCCUCCUCCAGCCCAGUGUGUGCCCAUCCUUUUUGCCCUCUUCCCCUAAAGCUCUCUCAUCUUUGAGCCCUGGAUCUUGCCUUUACGGGGUCCAAAGGUCCCCUUGCCACUGCUGCCCUCCUGACCAGGCCCAGCUCCAGUGCCGUCUCACCUAUCAAGUCUUCCUUGUCACCCUCUGCCCUCCGACCCUAUGGCCUACAAGAUGGAACUUUUUACUAGAUUUGUAUCUUUAAUUAUAGGAGUGAUACAUGCUUGUAAAAACAUCCCCACAUUAUAGAAGCAUACACAGUAAAAUGACUGUGUCAUCCCAGCUCUCCUUUCCCUAGAACUCACCCCAGUCAACAGUCAGGCGUGCACAUGGGUGCCCGUUUUACACAACAGGAGAGGGGACCCUUGAGAACUUUCCAUCACCACUUGACAUGGCGGUGACAGGGUGGUGGUGGUGAGGAGCAGAGUUGGUGACUUGUGUUGACUUUGGAAAAAAUCACUGGCCUCGAGGUCAGUCUGUGGGGCCCCUUGAUUCCUUUCAAAGAACAGAGCCCCAGGGAGGCAUUUCUAGUUCACAGGAAGAUAUUCAUUCUGUUCACCCAAGAGCCAGAAACUCAAGUUCAAAAGGCAGCCAGGCUGCUUGAGAAUCCUCUUGGCCUAGCACAAACCCCACUAUAAGCCCGGGCUGAGCUGGGCGGAAAGUCAGGCAGCUUUAACGGCACGGUCACUCGGUCAGAUGGAGAGAUGCAGAGUUUGAACGCUGGCCUGCCUUUCUCCAACCUGGGCCCUUGCCUGGCCCCUGUAGGUCCAAUGUUCUGGCUGGUCAGCCUGGAGCCCUCUACUCGCCGUGUGCCCUGCUGGCGAAGCAGUGAGUCCCCUUACAGCAUGGCUCAGGAGAAUAAUCUGCCCAAGGGACUACUCACCCUCCUUAGAGUAGGAACUAGAGGAAGAAGCGGGGCUGUGCUGGCAUCUCCUUCUCCAGAGGUUCCAGCCCACGUUUCUAGGCAGUUUGAGCAACAGGGGAUAGAUGUCUUCCCUAAAUAACCCAAGGUACCACAUCUCUCCCCCACACUCCAAUUCAAAUAAAAUACUUAAGGAAGAGAAGGGACUGCGGUACACCAAGGUGGGAACACCUAACCCCAAUUGAGAGAUGUCAGGGAAGGCUCCCAGGUAUUGGCAUAUACACUGACACUUAAAAGAUAAGCAGGAUGUGGCCAGGUGAAGGUGAGAACAGCAUUCCACACAGAAGGAACACCACUGGUAAAGGCCUAACGGUGAGAGGGAGCAUGACUUUGGAGAAACUGGAAAUUCACUGUGGCUGAGCCUAGUGUGUGAGGGGGACAUGGAGGGGGUGGGCUUGGAGAGGUCGACUGCUUGGGUGUGCAAACCUCAGGGCUUUGUCCCAGUGGCCAAAGGGAGUCAAGGGAAAGGUUUUAAGAAGAUAAGUGACAUUUCAGACAGAUGACUCAUAGACCAUGAGCUGAAGGUGAUAAGUUUGGAGGAAAUGAAUGCCUUUGGGUGAGCAAUAAUGGUAGCCUAGACUAGGGCAGGCACAGUGGAAGAUGAGAGGAAAUAGAAUUCAACACAGCAUGAGGGGGUGAGGAAGAGGAAGGCGACGCUGGCUUAGGUGUUGAGGAUAUAGAUCACAGAUCGACAGUCACAUUCAGCAAACAAUUAUUAACUGGACUGGACUCAGGGUGUAGGGAUCUGGAGGUCCCCACAUACUUUCAUACAUAAAGAAUUGAAGGCCAGUGGCCAGUGAUAAGCCCCAAUCUGGCCAUCUAGCCUGCUGACAUCAGUGCAGACCUGAUUGGGCACCCAAAUCUUGAUUCGGGCAUGUCAUGUACACACAGAGGCUGCUAGACACCAUAAUCCUGAAGCAGACACCCCAGGUCCACAGCCGACCACUCUCAGCCAACCCAGUGCUCCCCUGACCUACAAGCCAGAUAUCCCUAGUCAAUCAGCAACGCUCAGAAACUUUGUUUUUUGAAUACAGAACAGAGAUAGUUCAUGACCAACCCCAUUUCUCCCCCUUCCCCAACCUAGACUCUCUGCUGGAACAGUGUUUUGUUUGGCAGUAAAACUUUUCUACUCAGCACUCAAUCUUUGGCCUCUAGUCUUAACUCAAGCCAGAGGCCUCCACCAGCCACAGGGCCUGAAGGGGCUUCAACAAAGUUGGAUAUACCUUAUAUGUUCUUCGCACAAUUCUGAUAUUCUAUACUCUGUGGUCCUUCUUUGAGCUCUCCUGGGCACCUGCGGGUGCAGUGAGCAGCCCAAUAGGGGCUGAGGGUGUUAUCUGAGGCCAUGAAACAUGGGGGCAUUGGGCUGUGGGGUAUGGUGGAAGAAUACAGGUAGGAAUCCCAAACCCUUGGUUAUGGUCUCCAGCUCCCCAGGUGACCUUUCCUCUUUGGGCCUGUCCCUCCAGCCCCCAGGCCUUUGCACAUGCUGUUCCCUCUGCCUGGAAUACUCUUCCCCUUCCCCUUUGUCUGUUUGGCUCGUC
Aethalodelphis obliquidens (Pacific white-sided dolphin) is the source of this 8659-nucleotide long non-coding RNA. RefSeq lists it as uncharacterized. NCBI's taxonomy places the organism in Eukaryota, Metazoa, Chordata, Mammalia, Artiodactyla, Delphinidae. The record is from RefSeq and is a predicted model, not a curated record. The transcript has 3 exons.